This 565-nucleotide ribosomal RNA is filed under the name uncultured Glomus. RNAcentral describes it as "SSU rRNA". It matches the Rfam family "Eukaryotic small subunit ribosomal RNA", at positions 546 to 1106 of the family's 1831-position model. The record is from RNAcentral. Lineage: Eukaryota; Fungi; Glomeromycota; Glomeromycetes; Glomerales; Glomeraceae.
AAUUGGAGGGCAAGUCUGGUGCCAGCAGCCGCGGUAAUUCCAGCUCCAAUAGCGUAUAUUAAAGUUGUUGCAGUUAAAAAGCUCGUAGUUGAAUUUCGGGAUUGACACAUCGGUCGUGCCCUAAGGGGUAUGAACUGGUGUAGUCAAUUUCUCACCUUCUGGAGAACCGCGAUGCCCUUAAUUGGGUGUCACGGGGAACCAGGACCUUUACUUUGAAAAAAUUAGAGUGUUUAAAGCAGGCAUUUUGCUUGAAUACAUUAGCAUGGAAUAAUAAAAUAGGACGGCAUGAUUCUAUUUUGUUGGUUUCUAGGAUCACCGUAAUGAUUAAUAGGGAUAGUUGGGGGCAUUAGUAUUCAAUUGUCAGAGGUGAAAUUCUUGGAUUUAUUGAAGACUAACUACUGCGAAAGCAUUUGCCAAGGAUGUUUUCAUUAAUCAAGAACGAAAGUUAGGGGAUCGAAGACGAUCAGAUACCGUCGUAGUCUUAACCAUAAACUAUGCCGACUAGGAAUCAGACGAUGUUAAUUUUUUAAUGACUCGUUUGGCACCUUACGGGAAACCAAAGUGU